Molecule: ribosomal RNA, 484 nt
Filed under: uncultured bacterium
Lineage: Bacteria
Description: partial 16S ribosomal RNA
Rfam family: Bacterial small subunit ribosomal RNA
Source: RNAcentral
GAUGAACGCUGGCGGCGUGCUUAACACAUGCAAGUCGAACGGUGAAGCAGGAGCUUGCUCUUGUGGAUCAGUGGCGAACGGGUGGGUAACACGUGAGCAACCUGCCCCUGACUCUGGGAUAAGCGCUGGAAACGGCGUCUAAUACUGGAUAUGUGAUGUGACCGCAUGGUCUGCAUCUGGAAAGAAUUUCGGUUGGGGAUGGGAUCGCGGCCUAUCAGCUUGUUGGUGAGGUAAUGGCUCACCAAGGCGUCGACGGGUAGCCGGCCUGAGAGGGUGAGCGGCCAAACUGGGACGGAGACACGGCCCAGACUCCUCCGGGAGGCAGCGGUGGGGAAUAUUGCACAAUGGGCGGAAGCCUGAUGCAGCAACGCCGCGUGAGGGAUGACGGCCUUCGGGUUGUAAACCUCUUUUAGCAGGGAAGAAGCGAAAGUGACGGUACCUGCAGAAAAAGCACCGGCUAACUACGUGCCAGCCGCCGCGGUAA